Molecule: ribosomal RNA, 274 nt
Filed under: uncultured prokaryote
Description: partial 16S ribosomal RNA
Rfam family: Bacterial small subunit ribosomal RNA
Source: RNAcentral
UACGAAGGGGGCUAGCGUUGCUCGGAAUUACUGGGCGUAAAGGGAGCGUAGGCGGACAGUUUAGUCAGAGGUGAAAGCCCAGGGCUCAACCUUGGAAUUGCCUUUGAUACUGACUGUCUUGAGUAUGGGAGAGGUAAGCGGAACUCCGAGUGUAGAGGUGAAAUUCGUAGAUAUUCGGAAGAACACCAGUGGCGAAGGCGGCUUACUGGCCCAUUACUGACGCUGAGGCUCGAAAGCGUGGGGAGCAAACAGGAUUAGAAACCCCCUGUAGUCC